This 1008-nucleotide long non-coding RNA is filed under the name Oryctolagus cuniculus (rabbit). RNAcentral describes it as "lncRNA (ENSOCUG00000036079.1)". The record is from RNAcentral. Lineage: Eukaryota; Metazoa; Chordata; Mammalia; Lagomorpha; Leporidae.
AUGUGGUGGGCAGAGCCCUGUUUCCUCAUGGGCUGUGUCUCCUGCCCACUGGCCCUGCUGUGGGCAGGAAGGGGAGGGGCAUGGACGCACAGGGGACCUCCUCCCACCCAUCAAGGGAGCGGUGCUCUUAGGGCUGCAAAGCUUCCUGUGGCUCUGUUGCUCCCUGCUCAGCGCUCAGUGGAAACCUCGGGUGAGCGGCUCAGCUCCGCAGGAGAGGCCACAAAUCUCUCAGGGGGUAAGACUCCCAGGCGGGCUUCCUGGGAAUUGGGCGAUGUGUCCGUCUCUCGGUGCUCCUUGCCCGGGGUCUGUUCCUGUGCAGCACGCUUGACCCCCGGAUCAGAGUCGUGGGGUCCUCUUGCUCCUUCUGUCCACAGUUCCCCAGCUGUCCAAUCCCACUCAGCACUCAUCUCAUGUCUGACACAGGUGCACACACACAGAGUGAGGGAAUUCUACAUCUUGACCCUGGUUCGAAGCCUCGAUGAGUUUCUCUUUACACUUCAGUUUGGGGUUCCCUCUGCUUUGCGCUGGCCACCGCACCACAGCACUGUUCAUAAAUCUGCUGGGCUCUCCGCAUGUGCUGAACCCCAGCUAGGAAGCUGCAGGGGUUUCUCAGAUAAAAAACCAGGUUCUGCCCAGCCCGCUCCACCCGUGUCUCCAUUCUGUGUGCAGUCAUCCCCACGGAGGAGUGAUUGCAGGACACCCCACACCCACGGACACAAAUCUAGGUGCUCAAGACCCUACACAAGAGCCUACACAGUCCUCCUGUAUACUUUAAAUCAGCUCUGGGUAGCUUACAAUACCCAACACAAUGGAAAGACUAUAAAGAGCUCAAGAAAUUCAACAACAACAAAACAAUCCAGUGAAGAAAUGGACAAAGGACUUGAACAGGCAUUUUUCAAGAGAGGAAAUUCAAAUGGCCAACAGACAUUUGAGAAAAUGCUCAGGAUCACUAGCCAUCAGGGAAAUGCAAAUCAAAACCAUGGUGAGGUUUCACCUCACCCCAGCUAG